Molecule: long non-coding RNA, 1043 nt
Filed under: Nicotiana benthamiana
Lineage: Eukaryota; Viridiplantae; Streptophyta; Magnoliopsida; Solanales; Solanaceae
Description: long non-coding RNA (NBEN_LNC018446)
Source: RNAcentral
CAGGUUUGUCUAUCUCGAAAUCUGUUUCGUCGUUCUACUGAAUUUUAAAGAUAUUGCCCUUGGUAUAUCCACAUUUUAAUCCUAGUCUAGCUGUCUAGGUAAGUUUGACAAACUAUUUGGUAGAAUGUUUGGAAUAACUUCUCCCCAUGACACACUUUCUUGGGUCUAGAGAUGCUUUGGAAACUGCUGGAGCAUCUGUGGAUUUGAGAAGGCAUUACUUUAGACUGGCCAUGACAUCAUAGCAGCUAGAAUUAUGUUGACAGACCCAGCCUAACGAAUCUAGAUAGGUGCCAGUGAACCACUAUCAAGCUUUAGCUUGAGAGAUUUGAGAGUAAAUGCUCAAUAAAAUGGGUUCACCCCUUUGCUUUCUUACACUUCGAUGGCAAAUGUUUUACGACAAUACCUGUAGGCAGUUUCUUGACAUGUAUAAACUUUGAUAGCUAUGUCUGUGUCUGAGAGUAAAUGCUCAAUAAAAUGUGUUCACCCCUUUGCUUUCUUACACUUCGAUUGCAAAUGUUUUAUGACAAUACCUCUGGGCAGUUUCUUCACAUGUAUUAUGUAUAGGGUGAUGAUGUUGAUAGCUACGUCUGUGUAUGUUUUGCGGACUUGUAUCUAUGCAUAUUAGUUCAGGUUGCCUGUGGAGAAUACUAAGUUUUCUUCACAAAUUCAAGCCGCAGCCGCUUCCUUACGGAAGAUCCUUUGCACUGGGCAUAUCCGUUUCUCUCUAAGCACUGAUUGGCCUAGUGAUUUUGUUGAUGCCAACAAUAACGUUUUUUCUAUUCUCUGUUCAGAAUUGUUGUAUAAUUAUAUGUAUAGCAUUAUAAUGAAAAGUUGGAUUAUAGAAAUGCACACAUAUCACAUACCAUACUUGUGUGUGCUUUAUGGUGACAUGUACGUUUGUUUCAUAAGUAACUUUCAUCUGUCUGAUUGCUUCCUCUCAAAUUUUUUGAAAAGGGGAACACACGCACUUGGGAAAUAGAGUUUCUAAACGCUUCCCUUGCAAUUAAAUAUGGCUUGUACUUGUAAUUUUGCAUACAUAUUUU